GCCAGCAGCCAUAUCACUCUGCAACUCACAACUGGCAAUCCACUGAAGCUAAGCUAAGCUAAGGUGUGAGCCUGGUCAGUACCUGGAUGGGAGACCUCCUGGGAAAAACUAAGGUUGCUGCUGGAA
Molecule: ribosomal RNA, 126 nt
Filed under: Lepisosteus oculatus (spotted gar)
Lineage: Eukaryota; Metazoa; Chordata; Actinopteri; Semionotiformes; Lepisosteidae
Source: RNAcentral